Lolium perenne is the source of this 1222-nucleotide non-coding RNA. The record is from RefSeq and is a predicted model, not a curated record. NCBI's taxonomy places the organism in Eukaryota, Viridiplantae, Streptophyta, Magnoliopsida, Poales, Poaceae.
ACCGGACCUAGCCAGUACGACCACAUUACCCUUUAGUGGGACGGGGCGUAGCGUAGUAUUUGUCUCGCCUUAGUUUGAGUCCUGCAAGUGUAAGGGGUAGUCCGAUCAUGGACACCUAUCGACCGGGCCUUCCCGACGUACUGGGGACGCCUUUCCUUCUCUUUAGAUGGCAGGGGUACAACCUAUGAGCUCCCAUUGAAUAAUGCCCCGCAGUUGGUCGCGGCAUUCCGGAGGGUCGAGCUGGUCGGGGAAUUUGCUACUCCUGGGUAAACGACCCCUCGGACUCUGGUGUUGGGAGGUACAACUCUAGGCGGCAUGUCUUAGGCUAAGGCGAGCAGGCGAAAAACUACGAUCGGGUACUUGUCGUGGCAUAUGUUGUUAUGCAGGGAUGAUGCCCACACGAUAAGUAUUCGGAUCUUGUGGGGAAAGUGUACAACCUCUGCAGAGUGUAAAUCUAUUCGAAUAGCCGUGUCCGCGGCAAUGGACGUGGGAAAGGAAGUGCUGAGUAUCAAAGGGAGUUUUGGUUUAUAAAAGUGAUUUUUCUCACAAAUGUUUCGGGAAAAUGAUGCCAGUGGAACUGGUGGAGAUGUACCUGGGAGGUACGGUGGAAAGUUGGAAAAGUUGUUUUGGCCAUAUGAGAUGGCCGGAAAGGAAAAUGGGUCACCCUUACCUAUUAGUCUUCAAAAGAAACUUGUUUUCAUAAAGGUUUUCAACAAAGAUAUAGAGAUGUCAUACUCUCGAGAGAAACUAUCUCUCACCCCUUGUAACCCAGUGCCUGUUCCUUGCUACUGCCAAAAUGCAUAUCCUUUACUUCUCUCUAAGGUGGUUUGCGAGUACAAUUCAUAAUGUACUCAUGGCUUUGUCCCUGGCUAUUUACUUGGCCAGACUUGGUGGAGUUCGGCAGAUGAAGAAGGAGUUGACGACGUCUAUGCGAGCUAGGAACGUCUUCCCAGUCAGUUGCCUGUAGGGUUACGGCAUGACUUGGGCCAUGCGAACGCUUUCAUCUGAAAUAUUUCCGCUGUGUGAUUGUUGAUCUCCUGCCAUUGCGGCUCUUAUGUAAGCAUUGGUCAUGUGACCUGUUGUAACCUUUUUAUUCGGUACUGUAAUGGAUGAUGUAUUUGAUACCAGUUCGGUUAUGCUUUCACGACACACUGAUCAUGGGAUCGUGAAUGUGUAUGCAUAACGGGUGUUUCGGACAGCUAGUCCGGGGCCCCACAGUGCC